This 128-nucleotide ribosomal RNA is filed under the name Sindora klaineana. RNAcentral's name for it is "partial 18S ribosomal RNA". It matches the Rfam family "Eukaryotic small subunit ribosomal RNA", at positions 1713 to 1831 of the family's 1831-position model. Lineage: Eukaryota; Viridiplantae; Streptophyta; Magnoliopsida; Fabales; Fabaceae. The record is from RNAcentral.
GAUCGCGGCGACGCGGGCGGUCCGCCGCCGACGACGUCGCGAGAAGUCCACUGAACCUUAUCAUUUAGAGGAAGGAGAAGUCGUAACAAGGUUUCCGUAGGUGAACCUGCGGAAGGAUCAUUGCCGCC